Molecule: long non-coding RNA, 1082 nt
Filed under: Anser cygnoides (Swan goose)
Lineage: Eukaryota; Metazoa; Chordata; Aves; Anseriformes; Anatidae
Description: lncRNA (ENSACDG00005002634.1)
Source: RNAcentral
GUUUCCACCCCAGUGCCAGAGGAGGUGGAAGGAGCAGAGUUUUCAGGAUGCUUUUUAGGAUCCAGGCACUGCACAGUCCAACCAACCUUCCUUUGAGUAGUACGCCCCAUUUUCUCCUCGGCAGUCACCUAGUGGUACUAAUGCUCAUGAUUAAUUUCUGCAAGCAGAGAAUCAAGAUGUUUUUCACUGGAUUGGUUCCCAGAACCGACUUGUUGCCUGGCCACAUGGGCAAGGUUCUGGUGUAAUUUUGUGGAGGGCAAAGCCACAGCAGUGCUGACCUAGAUGGACUUAAGCCACCACUGAUCCAAACUUUGGUGCACCGUCCGUAGACUGUUAAAAUACACCUACAGUGAUUUUAAUACACAUUACUACUGCAGCUAACAUCUCUGAUUCGUGCUUUAUUUUGGAGUUACCGGUUAGGGCUGAAGAAAAAACUUGCAGAAAGGGUGGUGAUGAGCAGGAGUCUCUCCAUGGCCACUCUUCAAGGAGUAACCACAUGAGGAUGGAUGUGCAUGUUUCCAGCAAGUCAUGCUGCCCAGGCCAGCAGAGCGAAGCAUGCUGUCUAACAGCUGUCCCUCCAGAGAAGCGGCACGGGAAGGAUGGAAGUCAGCUAACAGGAGCCUUUUUUCCUGGAAAACAUUUUCGGCUGUGGUGCGGUAACAGCUGGGCUGUGAGCUGCAAGCAUCUCUGCAGCUGUGGGUGGUGGGCUGCGCAAGCUCAGCUGCUCCUCUGACAGCAGCAGGUAACUUCACUGCAGCAAAAGCUUUCAUCCGGGAAUUAAACGGGAAAGGAAGCUUAAGAAAUGCAGGCUUUCUGCUGACCUUGCCUCUCUCCACAUGUACCUAUCAAAGUACUUUGUAUUCAGCGAGUAGGGCUGUGGUAAGCGUGGAGUAAGGGGUGUAGGAUGAGCGUUGCCGUUAGUCCUGUGCCAGUGGCUAACUGGGAAGUUGUCAGAGUUGUCAGACUGCUACGUCCUGCGUUGACCAAAGCACUGCACGGGGCUCAGCCCGGCUUCCAGGUGGUUUCAAAGAAGAGCUUUCUGAGGAGCGGCCCUAGUAGGAAAUCAUGGAAGCACGGGCAAA